CUGAUCCAGCAGGUAACAUCUGGGUCUGAAUUGUUCUCUCCUUCACUUCUUCAUGACCUUCUGAUGUCUGCUGGCUGAUCCAAGAACCUUCUGGAGAACUUCUGACUUUAUUAAGAACAUUUCAAAUCUGAGUCUGAAACCUAAACUGGAAUCAUGUUCCAGGUCUGUAGAAACAUCCAGAGUGAGGUCAGAUGUAGUGAAUGAAGGAGUGAACAUUUCCUAUGAAGUGGUGAUGUGUUGGUCCUGAACAGAUGGGCUCAGUUAAAGCAGCGGUUCUGAAACCUUUGGGGUCCAGACCUCCUUUAGACAGGCUGCCAGUCCUCCUGCUGAGAGUCAGGUUUAGUCAGAGAGGCAGGAAUAUGUGUAUGAAGGUUUU
Molecule: long non-coding RNA, 376 nt
Organism: Xiphophorus couchianus (Monterrey platyfish)
Lineage: Eukaryota; Metazoa; Chordata; Actinopteri; Cyprinodontiformes; Poeciliidae
Exons: 3
Source: RefSeq, a predicted model, not a curated record